Molecule: transfer RNA, 83 nt
Filed under: Armatimonadota bacterium
Lineage: Bacteria; Bacillati; Armatimonadota
Description: Armatimonadetes bacterium (fermentation metagenome) tRNA-Tyr
Rfam family: tRNA
About the family: Transfer RNA (tRNA) molecules are approximately 80 nucleotides in length. Their secondary structure includes four short double-helical elements and three loops (D, anti-codon, and T loops).
Source: RNAcentral
GGAGGGGUGGCCGAGCGGUUAAUGGCAGCAGACUGUAAAUCUGCCGGGUAACUCCUACGGAAGUUCGAAUCUUCCCCCCUCCA